RNAcentral lists this ribosomal RNA (274 nucleotides) under uncultured bacterium. RNAcentral describes it as "partial 16S ribosomal RNA". It matches the Rfam family "Bacterial small subunit ribosomal RNA", at positions 523 to 796 of the family's 1533-position model. The record is from RNAcentral.
AUACGGAGGGUGCAAGCGUUAUCCGGAUUUAUUGGGUUUAAAGGGUGCGCAGGCGGAUAAUUAAGUCAGUGGUGAAAUCCUCCCGCUCAACGGGAGAACUGCCAUUGAUACUGAUAAUCUGGAACACGGUUGAAGUGGGCGGAAUGUAGCAUGUAGCGGUGAAAUGCAUAGAGAUGCUACAGAACACCGAUCGCGAAGGCAGCUCACUAAGCCGAUAUUGACGCUCAGGCACGAAAGCGUGGGUAGCGAACAGGAUUAGAAACCCCAGUAGUCC